Molecule: non-coding RNA, 81 nt
Submitted as: unclassified sequences
Source: Rfam
GUGCUAAAAGCAUAGUGGGAAAGUGACGUGAAAUUCGUCCACAUUACUUGAUAAGGUCAUAGUCCGAAUGCCACCUAGCAC